UAUAUUAAAGUUGUUGCAGUUAAAAAGCUCGUAGUUGGAUUUGUGGUGUACUUCGGCGGCCCGUCACUAUGUGAUGGAGCUUGCUGAAGUCGCCAUCCUUGGGUGGAUCCUGUGUGGCAUUAAGUUGUCGUGCAGGGGAUGCCCAUCGUUUACUGUGAAAAAAUUAGAGUGUUCAAAGCAGGCUUAUGCCGUUGAAUAUAUUAGCAUGGAAUAAUAAGAUAGGACCUUGGUACUAUUUUGUUGGUUUGCGCACCAAGGUAAUGAUUAAUAGGGACAGUUGGGGGUAUUCGUAUUUCAUUGUCAGAGGUGAAAUUCUUGGAUUUUUGAAAGACGAACUACUGCGAAAGCAUUUACCAAGGAUGUUUUCAUUAAUCAAGAACGAAAGUUAGGGGAUCGAAGA
This 400-nucleotide ribosomal RNA is filed under the name Cylindrotheca closterium. Its description in RNAcentral is "SSU rRNA". It matches the Rfam family "Eukaryotic small subunit ribosomal RNA", at positions 600 to 1004 of the family's 1831-position model. Lineage: Eukaryota; Bacillariophyta; Bacillariophyceae; Bacillariales; Bacillariaceae. The record is from RNAcentral.